Molecule: non-coding RNA, 64 nt
Filed under: Halotalea alkalilenta
Lineage: Bacteria; Pseudomonadati; Pseudomonadota; Gammaproteobacteria; Oceanospirillales; Halomonadaceae
Source: RNAcentral
GGGAAGCCGGUGAGAUCCCGGCGCGGUCGCGCCACUGUAUUCGAUGCCUGUCGAGAGCCAGACC